AAGUCGUAACAAGGUUUCCGUAGGUGAACCUGCGGAAGGAUCAUUACACUCAGUAGAUUUCUACUGCUCGGGGGGAGCGGAAAGUGCUUUUGCACGAGUACGCUCUCUUUCUGAAACCCUUGUCUUUUUGCGUACUUCUGUUUCCUCGGCGGGUUCGCCCGCCGGCUGGACAACUCAAAUAACCUUUUUAAUUUUCAAUCAGCGUCUGAAUAAUUAUAAUAAUUACAACUUUCAACAACGGAUCUCUUGGUUCUG
Molecule: unclassified non-coding RNA, 255 nt
Filed under: Chaetosphaeronema sp.
Lineage: Eukaryota; Fungi; Ascomycota; Dothideomycetes; Pleosporales; Phaeosphaeriaceae
Description: partial internal transcribed spacer region
Rfam family: Eukaryotic small subunit ribosomal RNA (bases 1-46)
Source: RNAcentral